This 471-nucleotide ribosomal RNA is filed under the name uncultured bacterium. Its description in RNAcentral is "bacterial SSU rRNA". It matches the Rfam family "Bacterial small subunit ribosomal RNA", at positions 8 to 524 of the family's 1533-position model. The record is from RNAcentral.
AGAGUUUGAUCCUGGCUCAGGACGUACGCUGGCGGCACGCCUAACACAUGCAAGUCGAACGAAGUAGCAAUACUUAGUGGCAGACGGGUGAGUAACAUGUAGGUAUCUGCCCUUUGGCCUGGAAUAACACGAGGAAACUUGUGCUAAUACCGGAUAAGUCUUUACGGAGAAAGCUUUAUGCACCAUUGGAUGAGCCUGCACUUGAUUAGUUUGUUGGUGGGGUAAUGGCCUACCAAGACUGUGAUCAAUAGCUGAUUUGAGAGGAUGAUCAGCCACAUUGGGACUGAGACACGGCCCAAACUCCUACGGGAGGCAGCAGUGGGGAAUCUUGCACAAUGGAGGAAACUCUGAUGCAGCGAUGCCGCGUGAGUGAAGAAGGCCCUUGGGUUGUAAAGCUCUUUCGUCGGGGAAGAAAAUGACUGUACCCGAAUAAGAAGGUCCGGCUAACUUCGUGCCAGCAGCCGCGGUAAU